This 26-nucleotide ribosomal RNA is filed under the name Hesperocyparis glabra. RNAcentral's name for it is "partial 18S rRNA". Lineage: Eukaryota; Viridiplantae; Streptophyta; Pinopsida; Cupressales; Cupressaceae. The record is from RNAcentral.
GUAGGUGAACCUGCGGUAGGAUCAUU